GCAAGCGUGAUGGUGAAUGAUUGCACUUCACAUGAGCUUGAGAGAGUGAAAAAAAAAGUGAUCGCCCUGGCCCUGCCGUCCAGCUCAAACCAGCCGGGGAUCUGUUGCUCAGCUGGGGUUAGGUUCAAACUAUCAGUACGUCCCAAGAAACACAACUUCACCCUAUUCUCACCUUGAUCCUUCCUUGUACAGUUGCCGCUCGUAUGACUCAAUUUCUGCGAUCGCCCAAUGUAACAGUAAGACAGACCGUGACUUUUCACUGCUCGUUGCUGCUAUUCCGAGAUUGUAGUCCCAAUGCAUCCAUUCUUUGCCGGACGUACUUCUGUGUAGCAACAUCUUUCUUAUUACUGAUUAGUCUUGCACAUUUACAGUAGUUGUAAAUGCUGAAAAUAUAAAGCUCCCAAAUAUGAUAUUCCAAAGACGCAAUGCAUUUGAAGAUCUGCAGCAAUAACAGUGAAUCUGAAAUGCAAAGUGAAAGGUUGAAAUCAAAGCAGUACUC
This is a long non-coding RNA of Stegostoma tigrinum, 499 nucleotides long. RefSeq lists it as uncharacterized. The transcript has 4 exons. NCBI's taxonomy places the organism in Eukaryota, Metazoa, Chordata, Chondrichthyes, Orectolobiformes, Stegostomatidae. The record is from RefSeq and is a predicted model, not a curated record.